CCUACGGGCGGCUGCAGUGAGGAAUAUUGGUCAAUGGGGGAAACCCUGAUGCAGCGACGCCGCGUGAGUGAAGAAGUAUCUCGGUACGUAAAGCUCUAUCAGCAGGGAAGAAAAUGACGGUACCUGACUAAGAAGCCCCGGCUAACUACGUGCCAGCAGCCGCGGUAAUACGUAGGGGGCAAGCGUUAUCCGGAUUUACUGGGUGUAAAGGGAGCGUAGACGGCAGCACAAGUCUGGAGUGAAAUCCCGGGGCUUAACCCCGGAACUGCUUUGGAAACUGUGCGGCUGGAGUGCAGGAGGGGUAAGCGGAAUUCCUAGUGUAGCGGUGAAAUGCGUAGAUAUUAGGAGGAACACCGGUGGCGAAGGCGGCUUACUGGACUGUAACUGACGCUGAUGCACGAAAGCGUGGGGAUCAAACAGGAUUAGAUACCCCAGUAGUC
RNAcentral lists this ribosomal RNA (440 nucleotides) under uncultured bacterium. RNAcentral's name for it is "partial 16S ribosomal RNA". It matches the Rfam family "Bacterial small subunit ribosomal RNA", at positions 338 to 795 of the family's 1533-position model. The record is from RNAcentral.